AGCGAACGCUGGCGGCAGGCUUAACACAUGCAAGUCGAGCGGGCAUCCUUGUGGUGUCAGCGGCAGACGGGUGAGUAACGCGUGGGAACGUGCCCUUCGGUUCGGAAUAACUCAGGGAAACUUGAGCUAAUACCGGAUACGUGCGAGAGCAGAAAGGUUUAUCUGCCGAAGGAUCGGCCCGCGUCUGAUUAGCUAGUUGGUGAGGUUACGGCUCACCAAGGCGACGAUCAGUAGCUGGUCUGAGAGGAUGAUCAGCCACACUGGGACUGAGACACGGCCCUGACUCCUACGGGAGGCAGCAGUGGGGAAUAUUGGACAAUGGGGGCAACCCUGAUCCAGCCAUGCCGCGUGAGUGAUGACGGCCUUAGGGUUGUAAAGCUCUUUUCUCCGGGACGAUAAUGACGGUACCGGAGGAAUAAGCCCCGGCUAACUUCGUG
Molecule: ribosomal RNA, 437 nt
Filed under: uncultured bacterium
Lineage: Bacteria
Description: partial 16S ribosomal RNA
Rfam family: Bacterial small subunit ribosomal RNA
Source: RNAcentral